CUACCUCAUACAGGGGGAUAACAGUUGGAAACGACCGCUAAUACCGCAUAACCCGCUAGUAUCGCAUGAUACGGACGGAAAAGAUUUAUCGGUAUGAGAUGGACCCGCGUCUGAUUAGCCAGUUGGCAGGGUAACGGCCUACCAAAGCAACGAUCAGUAGCCGGCCUGAGAGGGUGAACGGCCACAUUGGGACUGAGACACGGCCCAAACUCCUACGGGAGGCAGCAGUGGGGAAUAUUGCACAAUGGGGGAAACCCUGAUGCAGCGACGCCGCGUGAGUGAGGAAGUAUUUCGGUAUGUAAAGCUCUAUCAGCAGGGAAGAAAAUGACGGUACCUGACUAAGAAGCCCCGGCUAACUACGUGCCAGCAGCCGCGGUAAUACGUAGGGGGCAAGCGUUAUCCGGAUUUACUGGGUGUAAAGGGAGCGUAGACGGUUAAUCAAGUCAGAAGUGAAAACCCAGGGCUCAACCUUGGGACUGCUUUUGAAACUGAGUAGCUAGAGUGCAGGAGAGGUAAGCGGAAUUCCUAGUGUAGCGGUGAAAUGCGUAGAUAUUAGGAGGAACACCAGUGGCGAAGGCGGCUUACUGGACUGUAACUGACGUUGAGGCUCGAAAGCGUGGGGAGCAAACAGGAUUAGAUACCCUGGUAGUCCACGCCGUAAAC
Molecule: ribosomal RNA, 663 nt
Filed under: uncultured bacterium
Lineage: Bacteria
Description: bacterial SSU rRNA
Rfam family: Bacterial small subunit ribosomal RNA
Source: RNAcentral